AACGAACGCUGGCGGCGUGGAUAAGACAUGCAAGUCGAACGAGAGAAUUGCUAGCUUGCUAAUAAUUCUCUAGUGGCGCACGGGUGAGUAACACGUGAGUAACCUGCCCCCGAGAGCGGGAUAGCCCUGGGAAACUGGGAUUAAUACCGCAUAGUAUCGAAAGAUUAAAGCAGCAAUGCGCUUGGGGAUGGGCUCGCGGCCUAUUAGUUAGUUGGUGAGGUAACGGCUCACCAAGGCGAUGACGGGUAGCCGGUCUGAGAGGAUGUCCGGCCACACUGGAACUGAGACACGGUCCAGACACCUACGGGUGGCAGCAGUCGAGAAUCAUUCACAAUGGGGGAAACCCUGAUGGUGCGACGCCGCGUGGGGGAAUGAAGGUCUUCGGAUUGUAAACCCCUGUCAUGUGGGAGCAAAUUAAAAAGAUAGUACCACAAGAGGAAGAGACGGCUAACUCUGUGCCAGCAGCCGCGGUAAUACAGAGGUCUCAAGCGUUGUUCGGAAUCACUGGGCGUAAAGCGUGCGUAG
Molecule: ribosomal RNA, 525 nt
Filed under: uncultured bacterium
Lineage: Bacteria
Description: bacterial SSU rRNA
Rfam family: Bacterial small subunit ribosomal RNA
Source: RNAcentral